This 460-nucleotide ribosomal RNA is filed under the name uncultured bacterium. RNAcentral describes it as "partial 16S ribosomal RNA". It matches the Rfam family "Bacterial small subunit ribosomal RNA", at positions 338 to 795 of the family's 1533-position model. The record is from RNAcentral.
CCUACGGGUGGCAGCAGUGAGGAAUAUUGGUCAAUGGACGCAAGUCUGAACCAGCCAUGCCGCGUGCAGGAAGACGGCUCUAUGAGUUGUAAACUGCUUUUGUACGAGGGCAAACGCAGACACGCGUAUCUGUCUGAAAGUACUGUACGAACAAGGAUCGGCUAACUCCGUGCCAGCAGCCGCGGUAAUACGGAGGAUUCAAGCGUUAUCCGGAUUUAUUGGGUUUAAAGGGUGCGUAGGCGGUCGGGUAAGUUAGAGGUGAAAUCCCGGGGCUCAACUUCGGAAUUGCCUCUGAUACUGUUCGGCUAGAGAGUAGGUGCGGUAGGCGGAAUGUAUGGUGUAGCGGUGAAAUGCUUAGAGAUCAUGCAGAACACCGAUUGCGAAGGCAGCUUACCGGGCUACAUCUGACGUUGAGGCACGAAAGCGUGGGGAGCGAACAGGAUUAGAUACCCGAGUAGUC